AGUGAACGCUGGCGGUAGGCCUAACACAUGCAAGUCGAACGGCAGCACAGUAAGAGCUUGCUCUUACGGGUGGCGAGUGGCGGACGGGUGAGGAAUACAUCGGAAUCUACUUUUUCGUGGGGGAUAACGUAGGGAAACUUACGCUAAUACCGCAUACGACCUACGGGUGAAAGCAGGGGAUCUUCGGACCUUGCGCGAUUGAAUGAGCCGAUGUCGGAUUAGCUAGUUGGCGGGGUAAGGGCCCACCAAGGCGACGAUCCGUAGCUGGUCUGAGAGGAUGAUCAGCCACACUGGAACUGAGACACGGUCCAGACUCCUACGGGAGGCAGCAGUGGGGAAUAUUGGACAAUGGGCGCAAGCCUGAUCCAGCCAUACCGCGUGGGUGAAGAAGGCCUUCGGGUUGUAAAGCCCUUUUGUUGGGAAAGAGAAGCAGCAGGUUAAUACCCCGCUGUUCUGACGGUACCCAAAGAAUAAGCACCGGCUAACUUCGUG
RNAcentral lists this ribosomal RNA (492 nucleotides) under uncultured bacterium. RNAcentral's name for it is "partial 16S ribosomal RNA". It matches the Rfam family "Bacterial small subunit ribosomal RNA", at positions 29 to 507 of the family's 1533-position model. The record is from RNAcentral.